UACGGAAGGCAGCAGUGGGGAAUAUUGCACAAUGGGCGAAAGCCUGAUGCAGCUAUGCCGCGUGUAUGAAGAAGGCCUUAGGGUUGUAAAGUACUUUCAUCGGGGAGGAAAAAACAAAACUAAUAAUUUUAUUUCUUGACGUUACCCGAAAAAGAAGCACCGGCUAACUCCGUGCCAGCAGCCGCGGUAAUACGGAGGGUGCUAGCGUUAAUCAGAAUUACUGGGCGUAAAGAGCACGUAGGUGGUUUUUUUAAGUCAGAUGUGAAAUCCCUGGGCUUUAACCUAGGAACUGCAUUUUGAAACUGAAAUACUAGAGUAUCGUAGAGGGAGGUAGAAUUCUAGGUGUAGCGGUGAAAUGCGUAGAUAUCUGGAGGAAUACCUGUGGCGAAAGCGGCCUCCUAAACGAAUACUGACACUGAGGUGCGAAAGCGUGGGGAGCAAACAGGGAUUAGAUA
RNAcentral lists this ribosomal RNA (455 nucleotides) under uncultured bacterium. RNAcentral's name for it is "bacterial SSU rRNA". It matches the Rfam family "Bacterial small subunit ribosomal RNA", at positions 340 to 784 of the family's 1533-position model. The record is from RNAcentral.